Silurus meridionalis is the source of this 104-nucleotide small nuclear RNA. The record is from RefSeq and is a predicted model, not a curated record. NCBI's taxonomy places the organism in Eukaryota, Metazoa, Chordata, Actinopteri, Siluriformes, Siluridae.
GUGUGGUGCACAUAUACUAAGAUUGGAACGAUACAGAGAAGAUUAGCAUGGCCCUGCAUGGCGCAAGGAUGACCACCACCCAGAUUGUUGCAUGCCCAGAGUGA